UGUUAAAAAUUUAAUCCAUUUGCACUGUUAAAAACUAGUGUAGGUAACAAAAUAACCAUACAGUGACACAUGACAUGCCACGUAUAUCUCAUGGUGAUGUAUAGGGACUAGUUUUUAAUAGUAGAAAUAGAUAAUUUUUAAACA
This 144-nucleotide microRNA precursor is filed under the name Gossypium arboreum. RNAcentral describes it as "MIR7502 microRNA precursor family". It matches the Rfam family "MIR7502 microRNA precursor family". The record is from Rfam by way of RNAcentral. Lineage: Eukaryota; Viridiplantae; Streptophyta; Magnoliopsida; Malvales; Malvaceae.